This 1917-nucleotide ribosomal RNA is filed under the name Triticum aestivum (bread wheat). RNAcentral's name for it is "partial small subunit ribosomal RNA". Lineage: Eukaryota; Viridiplantae; Streptophyta; Magnoliopsida; Poales; Poaceae. The record is from RNAcentral.
AUGGACCCCAGGCCCGGGCAGUCAGCAUUUACUAUAAGUUUCUCAAAUCCAAAGGCCAUUGUGAGCAAGUUCCCUGUCGUCCCCGUAGCCAGUCAUCCCGCAGACAGUAAUAGUCAACUUGAUGUGCAAGCUCACGGUUAUUUGUACAACCAACCAAGAGGAACCAAGAGAAAGUUCGAUGGCUUGUCGCUUGGUCUGGGCAACUCAUCAAACUCAGAUUCCAGCAAGCAGAGUAUGCGUGCUGGCUGCACCAUAUCUUCUCCUAAGGGCAGUGAUGAAGGUUCUUCUGUUGAUUUGGGCUUAAAUUAUCUUACGCUGGGCAGUGAAGGUACUUCCAGGCUGGAUAAGCAGGCUAGUGAUUUUAAGAGAACUUCGGCGAAGGCUGGGCUGGAUCUUGAGUUAUCUUUGUCUGUUGGACCAUGUCAAUCUGCUAUUACUGGCCAAGACCUAACUUCAGCAACCAAACAGAACAGCACAUUUCUGCAGCCAUACAUUAUGGACCUAGUCCCAAGAGUUGACGAAGGUUCUACUUCUCUUCGUCGACCAUCUGGUGGUCAGUUCCUUAAUUUCCUUAAUAAGACUGUAAGGAUGACUGGGUUUUCUCCAAGGCAAGUUUUAUCAGGCAGCUCUAACCAGAGUCAGGGUCCAGCUUCACUGCCAACAUUGCUCCAACUACAAGAAAGUCCAGCAACCUGUACUUCCGGUUCUGUUAGUCCACAACAUCGCAUCAGCAGCACAAAAGUUUGUUCAUAUCCAGGAUGUAGAAAAGGGGCCAGAGGUUCGUCAGGGCGCUGCAUUGCACAUGGUGGGGGGAGAAGGUGCCGUAGAGAGGGAUGCAACAAAGGCGCCGAGGGCAAGACCAUCUACUGUAAAGCUCAUGGAGGGGGACGGCGCUGCGGGCACCUUGGGUGCACCAAGAGCGCUGAAGGCCGUACUGAUUACUGCAUAGGCCAUGGCGGUGGUCGGCGUUGUAUCCAUGACGGCUGCAGAAGAGCAGCAAGAGGGAAAUCUGGCCGCUGCAUCAAACAUGGUGGUGGGAAAAGGUGUCAACAGGAGAACUGCACAAAGAGCGCGGAAGGGCGUUCAGGCUUAUGCAUUGCCCAUGGAGGCGGACCUCGCUGUCAGCAUGCUGGUUGCACGAAGGGCGCCCAGGGAAGUACUGAUUUCUGCAAAUCGCAUGGUGGUGGCAGAAGGUGCACGCACCCUGACUGUACAAAGGGUGCUGAGGGAAGCACGCCAUUCUGCAAAGGGCAUGGAGGAGGCAAACGUUGUUCGGCUCAAGGCUGCACAAAAUGUGUGCACGGAGGUACACAGUUCUGCGUUGCGCAUGGAGGUGGCAAGAGGUGUGUGGUGGAAGGAUGCACCAAGAGCGCUCGAGGUCGUACCGAUCGCUGCGUUGGUCAUGGUGGGGGCAAGAGGUGCAUAACUGCUGGGUGUGAUAAGAGCGCACAGGGAAGCACCGACUUCUGCAAGGCACACGGCGGGGGCAAACGCUGCACGUGGGGCCACCCAGGGUCCGACCUUGGAGCUGGCGGCCCACCCUGUGACCGCCUUGCAAGAGGCAAGAAAGGCAUGUGCGUCCAUCACAACCCGCUCCUGGACGAUGACCGUAUCCACGGUGGUCGAACGCUGGCCGCUUUCAGCAUUACAAGCAGCGCUGCUUCCCUUGAUCGUCGGAGCCACCCUGCAACCUCGGAAACCAGCAGGCGCAGCAUCUCCAUGCUUCCAGUGGAGGCUCCUGGCCGUGCGCCUCUUCCCGAGGGCCGGGUGCACGGCGGCAACAUCGUGUCAAUGUUUGCUAAUGGUCUGAGCUUCGGGGAGGACUCCAGCAACAACGCUGAGGCCAGUACCUCGGCGCCUCGCAGCUCCAAACCUGCCAAGGAAUUCAGCGCCUCUGGUCGCAGCAGCUGGCUCUAG